RNAcentral lists this long non-coding RNA (271 nucleotides) under Populus tremula. RNAcentral's name for it is "long non-coding RNA (PTRE_LNC000389)". Lineage: Eukaryota; Viridiplantae; Streptophyta; Magnoliopsida; Malpighiales; Salicaceae. The record is from RNAcentral.
UUCAUCUCACAAGGCAGGCGCACUUCCACCGAUGGCAACCUCUAGCUUGCUCUUCACGCCCUCUAUCCAAAAGAACCACCACAACCUCAACCCGUCCAACCUCUCAUUCCAAGGCCUUAGACCCCUCACCAGGGCCAAAACCACCUCCCUCUCCAAGAUCAGCACCGCUGCACCAAAAAGGAGCUUAGCUGUGAAAGCAGAGCUUAACCCAUCACUGGUCAUAAGCUUGAGCACAGGGGUAUCACUCUUUUUGGGAAGGUUUGUGUUCUUC